AGAGUUUGAUCUGGCUCAGAGCGAACGCUGGCGGCAGGCUUAACACAUGCAAGUCGAACGGGCGUAGCAAUACGUCAGUGGCAGACGGGUGAGUAACGCGUGGGAACGUACCUUUUGGUUCGGAACAACUGAGGGAAACUUCAGCUAAUACCGGAUAAGCCCUUACGGGGAAAGAUUUAUCGCCGAAAGAUCGGCCCGCGUCUGAUUAGCUAGUUGGUGGGGUAAAGGCCUACCAAGGCGACGAUCCGUAACUGGUCUGAGAGGAUGAUCAGUCACACUGGAACUGAGACACGGUCCAGACUCCUACGGGAGGCAGCAGUGGGGAAUAUUGGACAAUGGGCGAAAGCCUGAUCCAGCCAUGCCGCGUGUGUGAAGAAGGUCUUCGGAUUGUAAAGCACUUUAAGUUGGGAGGAAGGGCAGUAAGUUAAUACCUUGCUGUUUUGACGUUACCAACAGAAUAAGCACCGGCUAACUUCGUGCCAGCAGCCGCGGUAAUACGAAGGGUGCAAGCGUUAAUCGGAAUUACUGGGCGUAAAGCGCGCGUAGGUGGUUUGGUAAGAUGGAUGUGAAAUCCCCGGGGCUCACCUGNGAACUGCAUCCAUAACUGCCUGACUAGAGUACGGUAGAGGGUGGUGGAAUUUCCUGUGUAGCGGUGAAAUGCGUAGAUAUAGGAAGGAACACCAGUGGCGAAGGCGACCACCUGGACUGAUACUGACACUGAGGUGCGAAAGCG
This 733-nucleotide ribosomal RNA is filed under the name uncultured Pseudomonas sp. Its description in RNAcentral is "bacterial SSU rRNA". It matches the Rfam family "Bacterial small subunit ribosomal RNA", at positions 8 to 761 of the family's 1533-position model. Lineage: Bacteria; Pseudomonadati; Pseudomonadota; Gammaproteobacteria; Pseudomonadales; Pseudomonadaceae. The record is from RNAcentral.